CCCGUGGAUCACCAUCAAGCCAUUCAGAUUAUGCUGAGAGCCACUACUUGACCCUUGAGAGAGACUGACCUGAAAUUUAAAAAAAAAAAUAAGAUCAUCCCCCAGUACAUCAACACAUCUCUCCCCCACUGCCUCCUUGCAAAAUCCACUCCCUGAAACCCCCUUUUCAGCCUUCACCUGAGCUGUGAUCCUCACCAGAGGCUGACCCUUCCCAGUGCCUGCAGAUCAGCUCCUCCAUGCAGCCCAGGACCUCACUCCACACGUCAUCAAACACGAAGAUGAUUAGCAAUAAAACCAGCUACAAAACAUACACAUCUUUAAGCAGUCAGCAGCAGCAAAGAUAUUUCUAUUUACUGACCAGGUCAAGGUAGUCAGCAACGAGCACAGUUAUGUAGUCUUGCUGCUCUGAAUGUACUAUUUUCAGUUAAAAAGGAAAAUAAAGUGUGCUUGUGUUCGAAACUCAGCCGGACAGGAAGGAGUCAGGGCUGCACAUUUUUAAGCAGCAGAGGACAAAGCUGCUUCUCACUGCCUUGUUCCCAGCAGAGAACAAAGUGACCCUCCCACCUCGGUCCAGCCCGGGCUCUCCACAGGUACUCACUCAUCAG
Corapipo altera (White-ruffed manakin) is the source of this 605-nucleotide long non-coding RNA. RefSeq lists it as uncharacterized. The record is from RefSeq and is a predicted model, not a curated record. NCBI's taxonomy places the organism in Eukaryota, Metazoa, Chordata, Aves, Passeriformes, Pipridae. The transcript is spliced from 3 exons.